UGCUGAUGACGCAGUCGGCGCGGCGGCCCUAGCGACGCGGUUACUAGGGAGCGGCGAGCCGAGACGGCUACAUGGACGCCGCUACCGCCCCGCACCGUAUCCCCCCCGAGAUGCCCCAGUACGGGGAGGAGAACCACAUCUUCGAGUUGAUGCAGGUGACCGGACACCCCUGCCCGUCGCGACGCUGGCGGCGGCUCGGGAGCCUCCACUGCGACGUCGGGUGCGCGGCCGGGACCCGCAGCUGGGGCCGAGUCGCGCGCCCACGAAGCAGCCCAACUCGGGAUAACAUGCUGGAGCAACUCCUGAUCCACCAGCCCGAGGAUCCCAUCCCCUUCAUGAUCCAGCACUUGCAUAGAGACAACGACAAUGUGCCCAGGAUUGUAAUAUUAGGUCCACCCGCCUCGGGGAAAACAACAAUAGCAAUGUGGCUCUGCAAACAUCUGAACAGCAGUCUCCUCACCCUGGAGAACCUGAUCUUAAACGAGUUUUCCUAUACGGCCACCGAAGCCAGAAGGCUUUAUCUGCAAAGGAAGACAGUUCCCAGCGCGCUGCUCGUCCAGCUGAUUCAGGAACGCCUGGCUGAAGAGGAUUGCAUCAAGCAGGGCUGGAUUCUGGAUGGCAUCCCUGAGACGCGUGAGCAGGCUCUGAGGAUCCAGACCCUGGGGAUCACACCCAGACACGUCAUCGUGCUGAGUGCUCCAGACACGGUCCUGAUCGAGAGAAACUUGGGGAAGAGAAUCGACCCUCAAACUGGAGAGAUUUAUCACACCACCUUUGACUGGCCACCCGAAUCUGAAAUCCAGAACCGUCUCAUGGUGCCAGAGGACAUCUCAGAGCUGGAGACGGCUCAGAAACUGCUGGAGUAUCAUAGGAACAUCAUCAGGGUCAUUCCCUCCUACCCCAAAAUCCUCAAAGUCAUCAGUGCUGACCAGCCAUGUGUGGACGUCUUCUACCAGGCUCUGACCUAUGUCCAAAGCAACCAUCGUACUAAUGCCCCGUUCACCCCGAGGGUGCUGCUGCUCGGGCCUGUGGGCAGUGGGAAAAGUCUGCAGGCCGCCCUCCUGGCCCAGAAAUACAGGCUUGUCAACGUCUGCUGUGGGCAACUGCUGAAAGAGGCUGUGGCAGACAGGACCACGUUUGGCGAGCUCAUCCAGCCCUUCUUUGAAAAGGAGAUGGCAGUUCCUGACAGCCUCCUCAUGAAGGUGCUGAGCCAGCGCCUGGACCAGCAGGACUGCAUCCAGAAAGGCUGGGUGCUACACGGCGUCCCGCGGGACCUGGACCAGGCACACCUGCUGAACAGCCUGGGCUACAAUCCCAACAGCACCACUGCUCUGGAGAGUAGAUGGAGGAUGCGUGCAUGUGGUUGAUAGCUUGAAAGAGCUGUACGGAUACUGUGGAUGGCUAUGACCUGCUCUGCACGGUGUUUUUCCUGAAUGUGCCAUUUGAUUCCAUCAUGGAGCGGCUGACUCUGAGAAGAAUUGAUCCAGUCACUGGGGAAAGGUACCACCUCAUGUACAAGCCACCUCCCACCAUGGAGAUCCAGGCUCGCCUCCUGCAGAACCCAAAGGAUGCUGAAGAGCAGGUCAAGCUGAAAAUGGACCUGUUCUACAGGAACUCGGCUGACUUGGAGCAGUUGUAUGGGUCGGCCAUCACCCUCAAUGGGGACCAGGACCCAUACACAGUCUUCGAAUACAUCGAGAGCGGGAUCAUUAAUCCCCUGCCCAAGAAAAUCCCCUGAUGGGUUCAGAGCCAGGAGCGCCGCCCCAGGGAAAGAGUUAAUCCCCUGCCCCCAGCGCCCCAGCCUCGGCACAGCUCCCCUAAAAAGCCAAUAAAGCCUGCUGGAUACAGUCUCGUA
Molecule: RNA transcript, 1855 nt
Organism: Pan troglodytes (chimpanzee)
Lineage: Eukaryota; Metazoa; Chordata; Mammalia; Primates; Hominidae
Gene: AK8
Gene name: adenylate kinase 8
Exons: 14
Source: RefSeq, a predicted model, not a curated record